CAGAGUUUUUAAGAAAGCCAGUCCCAACGGAAAGCUCACCGUCUAUCUGGGGAAGAGGGACUUUGUGGACCAUGUGGACCUGGUGGAGCCUGUCGACGGCGUCGUCCUGAUCGACCCAGAGUACCUGAAGGAGAGGAAAG
Plectropomus leopardus (leopard coralgrouper) is the source of this 140-nucleotide non-coding RNA. The record is from RefSeq and is a predicted model, not a curated record. NCBI's taxonomy places the organism in Eukaryota, Metazoa, Chordata, Actinopteri, Perciformes, Serranidae.